This is a long non-coding RNA of Papaver somniferum (opium poppy), 775 nucleotides long. RefSeq lists it as uncharacterized. NCBI's taxonomy places the organism in Eukaryota, Viridiplantae, Streptophyta, Magnoliopsida, Ranunculales, Papaveraceae. The transcript is spliced from 2 exons. The record is from RefSeq and is a predicted model, not a curated record.
AUUCAAUGACAAGAGACACACUCUCAAAGUCAGAAAAGUACUAAAUCCAUUUACCUCAAAAAAGACUUUACUCUCACAAAAACAAAACAAAACAAUCCAACAACAACCCACCAUUAAUCUCACCAUAAAACUCAGUUUUUAGCUGCUCUUUACCAGUAACACAACUACUACUCAUCCAAAAUCAAUGUAGAAAACCUAGAAAAGAAAAAUAAAAAAAAAAAGGAAACCCCUUUUCUUGCAUUUAGAAAUUGCAGUCUUGUAAUCAAUCUCCAUUGCAGAGUGAUUGAGAAAAAGAGACAAGGAAAUGUCUGGGUCUGGGUGUAGACAGUCUGGGGUUAUCUUCUAUUGCUUUUUAUUGAUCUUGUGCAUCACUAAUCUCAAUCAAGGAACCAGCUUUGUUCAUGGAGAGGAGAAAAAAGGGUCAACUUCACCAACAUCAACAGCAACAGAAAUGGUGCCAUUAAUAACAGAUGAACAUUCUUCACCAGAAAUGAUGAAUAUGCUGGUGAUGAAUUUGAUGAAUGAAACUGAAACUAACAGCAGCAGCAGAAGGAAGCUAAAUAGCUUUAGGAUAUGUGCAUUGUGCACCUGUUGUGGAGGUCCAAAAGGGGUUUGUUUACCAUCACCAUGUUGUUAUGCUAUCAAUUGCAACAUCCCAAACAGACCUUUUGGUUUCUGUGCUUUCACACCCAAGACUUGUAAUUGUCUUGGAUGCCAUCUCUAAUUAGUAUGAAUUUUUUAUAUAAAUUUUCAAAACCCCAUUUCUUGAUUCUCA